CCUACGGGCGGCAGCAGUGAGGAAUAUUGGUCAAUGGACGAGAGUCUGAACCAGCCAAGUAGCGUGAAGGAUGACUGCCCUAUGGGUUGUAAACUUCUUUUAUAUGGGAAUAAAACGUUCCACGUGUGGGAUUUUGUAUGUACCAUAUGAAUAAGGAUCGGCUAAAUCCGUGCCAGCAGCCGCGGUAAUACGGAGGAUCCGAGCGUUAUCCGGAUUUAUUGGGUUUAAAGGGAGCGUAGGUGGAUUGUUAAGUCAGUUGUGAAAGUUUGCGGCUCAACCGUAAAAUUGCAGUUGAAACUGGCAGUCUUGAGUACAGUAGAGGUGGGCGGAAUUCGUGGUGUAGCGGUGAAAUGCUUAGAUAUCACGAAGAACUCCGAUUGCGAAGGCAGUUCACUGGACUGCAACUGACACUGAGGCUCGAAAGUGUGGGUAUCAAACAGGAUUAGAUACCCUGGUAGUC
RNAcentral lists this ribosomal RNA (460 nucleotides) under uncultured bacterium. RNAcentral's name for it is "partial 16S ribosomal RNA". It matches the Rfam family "Bacterial small subunit ribosomal RNA", at positions 338 to 795 of the family's 1533-position model. The record is from RNAcentral.